Unclassified non-coding RNA from Vigna unguiculata (cowpea), 1203 nucleotides. NCBI's taxonomy places the organism in Eukaryota, Viridiplantae, Streptophyta, Magnoliopsida, Fabales, Fabaceae. The record is from RefSeq and is a predicted model, not a curated record.
UUGAAGUAAUUAUCACUUUUAUAUCCCUUGAAUGUUGUAAUAGAACUAUGCAAGAGCUGAAACACAUUGAAUAUAUAUGAGGCGGGAAGGAAGAGCGAAUACAAAUUUUGAGCAGCUCUUCCCACAGCUUUAUACUUUAUUUUCUGGCGUUGAACAAGAUCUCUGUUCGGAGGGUUGCUCGCGAGGGCGAGAGACACAAUUUCACGGUUUCCAAUAUUUACCAAUUAACGUGCUAUAUCUUUCAGGUUCCUUUCAGAGGAACUCAUUUCAGGCAAUGGACAAAAGACUUGAACAUGGUGCCAAGGCCUCGCAAUUGCCUUCUAAUGGAAUUGGAUCCAGGUUCUCCAAUUUGGAAAAGUCUUUCAAAUAUUCUAUCAGAUCUUUGCUCACUUCAUGCUCAAAGGAGGAAUUUUAUAAAGCAUUUUCAAGUUUCUCUAACACUGAAAGGGAAUUUCUCCAUCGCCUAUUUCUUCAGGUCAUUACUUCAUUGCAUGAAAACUUAGAGGAAGGGUUUCAGACAAUCUGUCUUCAAACACAGGCAGGAGCCACUCUUGAUGCUGUGGAGGAAAUUGUGGAAGAACAAGAUCUAGAUGUCCUGUUUUCGGAUAGGAGUAAUAUAACGGAUGUUUCUGAGAAUCUGUCUAUGGCUAAGAAGAAAGAAAUUCAACACUUAAUGCAUAUGGUUCAAUCGUAAUAGACAAAAAGUUUGUGACCCUUGGUCCUGUGGACUCCAGGAACAGCCUUCCACUUUGUCAUGAACCUAACAAUUAUUCCUUGGAGCGUAACAGUGAUAACCUUUGUCUACAACUCGACAUACAAUUUAAGGGAGAGGAACAUAAUCAAGUGUUGCGCACCCGACUGCAAAUGCUUAGGGAAGACAACAAAGUAUUAUCUGGUGCUUCCCAAGCUGUCAAGAAGUUCAAGAGCAUGAACUUAAAUUAUGGAGCCAACAGCGGCGAUGGGAUCCAUGAUGUAUAACGUAACUUGUAUGUUCUCCUGCAAAUUUGAUGAAGGUUCCUUUUUAUUCAUUUUAGUUUUUACUCUGUUUUAUUUUUUAUUAUCGUUUUACACUAGUAAGAAGGAACUAGUUACUUUAAGUGAAUGUAGCUUGUGUCACUACUAAGAAAAUGAAUGUUACUACCUUUGUAUAUGACCAUUAAUUUAAAGUUCUGUGAAGAAAGAACUACCUUUUGUUAAAAUCAA